Molecule: ribosomal RNA, 52 nt
Filed under: uncultured Inocybe
Lineage: Eukaryota; Fungi; Basidiomycota; Agaricomycetes; Agaricales; Cortinariaceae
Description: partial 25S ribosomal RNA
Source: RNAcentral
UCAAAUCAGGUAGGACUACCCGCUGAACUUAAGCAUAUCAUAAAGCGGAGGA